Molecule: long non-coding RNA, 2444 nt
Organism: Cavia porcellus (domestic guinea pig)
Lineage: Eukaryota; Metazoa; Chordata; Mammalia; Rodentia; Caviidae
Exons: 4
Source: RefSeq, a predicted model, not a curated record
GAACCUGGGGACAGGGACCAGACCUGCGGGGGUCAGGCUAGGGGACCAGGUCAGAGCAGAGGGUGGUGUCAGCAGAGAGGAUACUCGGGCAGAGGAGAGGCCACCAGGACAGGGAAGGGCUUGGGCAAGGCUGGGGGCUUCUGUGAUGCUGUCCCUUGUAGAGGGAUGGGGGCAGGUGGGUGUAGUGGGUGCCCAGAGAGGAGACAGGCAGAGAAAGAAUGCUUGGGCACAGGGCACAGAAGGGGUGAACUCUAGGCAGAGGGGCAGUGGCCCAGGCCACCCUCAGAAUGGCGCUGGCCCCAAGUGGGAGCCCAGUCACCUGGAAGCCAGAUGCUGCCUUGUGCCAUCCCUGAGCUGCUGCCCCUUCACUUUCCAUUCCCGAGGGACGAGUCCCUUGUGCCAGGGCAUGAGUUGGCACUGGGCACGGGGAGCAUGGGCAGCCAGGUGGCCUUUGGCUCACAGAGUCCCCUCCCUGCCUUCAUGCCCACUUGGCUGCCCACACACCAGCUGUCCAGAGCGCACAUGAGGCCCCAGGUGGGGAGGAGGUAGGUUUGACAUGGAUGGGUGCUGGCAGCAGGUGCUUGGAGGGCCCUCUAAAAGUAGAUCGCAGGGAUGCAAGUGAUGCCACCCCUGACUUGUGGGGUGGUCAGUCCUGUAUGGUGUGUCCCCUCUGUCCUCCAUCACUGCCAUCUCUACAUACAGAGCAGGACACUUAGGGUCCCUGAAGCCCCACUGCAGAGGCAGGUGCCCAGGGAAAGGACUUUCUGAGGCCCCCAGGCCAAUGGCACAUGGGGCCUGUGACACCCACUUUCCCUCUGGGGUCAGGUGGGUCUGGCCUUAGCUAGGCGAGCAUGUGGUGCUUGGAGAGGGGCAGCCUGCAGAUGAUCAGUUUGGUGCAGACCCCAGCAGGGCUGGCUGCUGGGCCAGGUUUUGAAGAGCUAUGCCAUCCCAGGGAGAAAGCCUUGCGCAUGCCACUACUGGGGCUCCAUGAUCCCUCAGUGAUUUCUUUGAGUCAUGGGGUCAGAUCCAAUGGGCUGGGCAGCAGGGCAGCCAUCUGCCAUCUAUCCUGGGAGCCCCAGGAGCCCCACAGUGUGCUCUCUGUUAGAUGUGCUAGCUGAUGCAGGUUACCAUGGAGAUGGGAGGCCAGGGCCCAAGGGAGCAGCCUCGGCCUGCUUAAAGGGAGCUGUUCUGGGAGCUGGCUGUGAAGAACCACGUGAUGUGAUGACAUGGCCUAGCCCCCAGGGUUUCUGGGCUUUGUCCUGUCUCCAACCUCCAAACGCUGUUCCUCACCCCCAGUUCUAAGCCACUUUCAGGCCAUGGAACCUGCGCUUCUCCAGCCCAGGCCUGAGCGAGUGCCCUCCUUCUCCAGCUCUCAGGAGGAACCCAGGAGGUCAGAGCCAGAGCCUGUGGGUACAGGCUUGGACAGGCACCUCUGUGCUGUGCCUGACUGCCUCUGGCUACAGCUUUGCAGAGAAAAUGGAUGUGAUGAGCAGUCCAGGCCCAGGGCAAUUUGAUUUGCCAGGGUUGCACAGCCAAUAAGCAACGGGAACCCUUGAACCCAGGAAGCCAAUCCCCAGACAGGGGCCUCCCGAAAGGGCUGGGGGCGCGAUUGGCUGGGCAUCUCUGAUUCCCACCAUAGCCUUCCAGGGCUCUGCACCCAGCGCCCUGCUCGGCGCAGGGACACCAGGGUUGGGCAGCGGUCGGAACCUUGCAGGGAUUUUGGGAGCCAGGAGCUGGGCCAUCAGGAUCAUUUUGACUUUGAGGAAGACCCUGAAGCUGCUGAGUCCCAGGCCCAGUGAAUGCAGUGGGUGUGCACUGCCACUGUGUUUCUGAUCACACCGCACCCAGGCACUGGGGAGAGAGGACUCCAGAGCUUCUUCAGAAAGAGACAAGAACACUGGCGUCACUGUGAGACCACCGUGGGUGUGGAGGAGCCUUCGAGAGAAGCCUUCGAGUGGAUGUGACGUCACACCUCAGUGAUACCUCCAGCUGCCGCCUGCUUGUCCUCUUUGGAGACACUGUUCAACUCUUAAAAAAAAAAUAUAUAUAUAUAUAUAUAUAUAUAUAUUUUUUUUUUUUUUUUUUUGCCUUUUCCUUUUUAUCUGUACUGGGGAUCGAACUCACGACUGCCUGCUUGCAAGAGGCUGUGACUCCCCAGGGCACAAGGGUUUAAUAUAAAAAACCUAAACCACAGCCUCCCAAAACAAUUCAGUUGCUACCCUAAUCAGAUUAUGUGGAUUGAUCCUUCUGCAUACCCUUCUCCCUCCUGGCCAGCCAGCUCAAAUUACAAAAUUCCCGCCAUCUUCACUGUCACUCAUCCCUGAGCCACACCCCUUCUUCACAAGAUAAUAAAUUCUGGAGGCGCCUAGGGUCAGGGCCUUUGUCUACCUGUCCUCAUGGAGAUUGGACUUAGGACCCCUUGGCUGCCCUUAACUUGGAACAUG